Molecule: ribosomal RNA, 255 nt
Filed under: uncultured bacterium
Lineage: Bacteria
Description: partial 16S ribosomal RNA
Rfam family: Bacterial small subunit ribosomal RNA
Source: RNAcentral
UACGUAGGGUGCAAGCGUUAAUCGGAAUUACUGGGCGUAAAGCGUGCGCAGGCGAUUGUGCAAGACCGAUGUGAAAUCCCCGGGCUUAACCUGGGAAUGGCAUUGGUGACUGCACGGCUAGAGUGUGUCAGAGGGGGGUAGAAUUCCACGUGUAGCAGUGAAAUGCGUAGAGAUGUGGAGGAAUACCGAUGGCGAAAGGCAGCCCCCCUGGGAUAACACUGACGCUCAUGCACGAAAGCGUGGGGAGCAAACAGG